This 533-nucleotide ribosomal RNA is filed under the name Montanelia panniformis. RNAcentral describes it as "eukaryotic LSU rRNA". It matches the Rfam family "Eukaryotic large subunit ribosomal RNA", at positions 95 to 643 of the family's 3401-position model. The record is from RNAcentral. Lineage: Eukaryota; Fungi; Ascomycota; Lecanoromycetes; Lecanorales; Parmeliaceae.
GAAGCGGCAACAGCUCAAAUUUGAAAUCUGACCCCGUGGUCCGAGUUGUAAUUUGUAGAGAGUGUUUCGGGUGAGACCACGGUCUAAGUCCAUUGGAACAUGGCGUCAUAGAGGGUGAGAAUCCCGUAUGUGACUGUGGCUCGAACCCAUGUGAAGCCUCUUCGACGAGUCGAGUUGUUUGGGAAUGCAGCUCAAAAUGGGUGGUAAAUUUCAUCUAAAGCUAAAUACUGGCUGGAGACCGAUAGCGCACAAGUAGAGUGAUCGAAAGAUGAAAAGCACUUUGGAAAGAGAGUCAAACAGUACGUGAAAUUGUUGAAAGGGAAGCGCUUGCAACCAGACCUGUCCGUAGGUGAUCAGCCGCUGUUCUCAGUGGUGCACUCGCUCUGCGAUCAGGCCAGCAUCGGUUUCGGCGGUCGGAUAAAGGCCUUGGGAAUGUAGCUUCCCUUCGGGGGAGUCUUAUAGCCCUCGGUGCAAUGCGGCCAGCCGGGACCGAGGACCGCGCUUCGGCUAGGAUGCUGGCGUAAUGGUUGUAA